AAUCACCAAUACUUCACCCAUAAGGCUUACCACCCUUAAUUCACCCAUUAUCAACAAUUAAUCAUGAAUAAACAUUAAACAACACAAGAGAUAUCAAUACAAUUCACUUUACACAUAAUUCCAUCAACUUUGAAUUUAUAGAAAUAGACCCACUUCAUAAACACAUUUUAGGGUUUUGUAGAAUACAAGGAUUCAUGGAGUUUUUUUCAUCUUAAAACAUCAAAUAAACAUCAAUAAUAUCAUAACUUAUCAUUUGAAAUCGUUUCAUGCAAGAACCCUUGAGUUUGAGUAGAAAUUAGGCUUUUUCACAAACUUUGGAAAAGUUGAAAACCAUUUGAAAUUGGCUCUAGGGUGAUAGCUUGCCCUAGAUAAAGAACUCCCAUACCUUUACUAAGAUUCCCCAAGAAAUUUGAUGAAGAAAACGUCUUGCAUCCACAACCCUAGCUCCCACUUUUUCUUCUUCUUCUUCCUUGAGUUAGAGAGAGAUAUAGAGAGAGAAAGAACUUGGGAUUUGAUUUGGGAAAAUAAUGAGUUAAAGGAAUGUUUUAAGAUCCAAAACCAUUUAAAAUCAACCCCACAUAAUAAACAAUUAAAACGAAAUUACAUAAAAACCCC
RNAcentral lists this long non-coding RNA (615 nucleotides) under Solanum tuberosum (potato). RNAcentral describes it as "long non-coding RNA (STUB_LNC001371)". The record is from RNAcentral. Lineage: Eukaryota; Viridiplantae; Streptophyta; Magnoliopsida; Solanales; Solanaceae.